RNAcentral lists this microRNA precursor (105 nucleotides) under Marmota monax (woodchuck). Lineage: Eukaryota; Metazoa; Chordata; Mammalia; Rodentia; Sciuridae. The record is from RNAcentral.
UAGGAUAUCUACAUGUGAAUGUUGUUAAAAUGCAGAUACUGAUUCAGUAGGUCUGAGUUAGGGCCAGGAUUUUGCAUUUCUAAUAAACUCCCAGUUGAUGCCAGU